This 253-nucleotide ribosomal RNA is filed under the name uncultured bacterium. RNAcentral describes it as "partial 16S ribosomal RNA". It matches the Rfam family "Bacterial small subunit ribosomal RNA", at positions 524 to 776 of the family's 1533-position model. The record is from RNAcentral.
GACAGAGGGUGCAAACGUUGUUCGGAAUUACUGGGCGUAAAGCGUGUGUAGGCGGCCACGUAAGUCAGGUGUGAAAGCCCCAGGCUUAACCUGGGAAGUGCACUUGAUACUGCAUGGCUUGAGUAUCGGAGAGGUUGGUGGAAUUCUCGGUGUAGAGGUGAAAUUCGUAGAUAUCGAGAGGAACACCGGUGGCGAAGGCGGCCAACUGGACGAAUACUGACGCUGAGACACGAAAGCGUGGGGAGCAAACAGG